This 1985-nucleotide long non-coding RNA is filed under the name Marmota monax (woodchuck). The record is from RNAcentral. Lineage: Eukaryota; Metazoa; Chordata; Mammalia; Rodentia; Sciuridae.
CCUCUCAGGUCAUGCAUGAAAUCAGAAGCAUGAGCACAACCUGUGAUUUAAAAUGAAACUGCACAAUUAAUAUUCUGGAUUGAGAUUCUAGAAAAGGGAAAGUUUGUAUCAAAACUAUUUCCAUGCUUUGAUGAUUACUCCAGCACCCUGGUCUAUCCUGCUAAGCAGGAGGAAAACGAAGAUAGAGAAACAGGUAACAGCCCGUUCUCUUUCCUAAGUCUUCCUUCCUUCUACCCAACUGAUGAAAUACAUAGUUUGGCAAUUAAAAAAAAUAAAAGGGAGGACUUCAGCUUCCCACAAGUUGGAGUACAUUUGUUUUUCUUUAUUUCUCUUGCUAAAUGCAAUGAAAAACAUGGGACAUUAUAUAUAAAACAAAGUUCUCUGCAAGGUGGAGAGAUGAAGGAAAACUGGCUCUAGGGACCUUGGGACCCAGAAACACCGGGAGUUGUCUGGAUUUUUCUUUUGCUUCAUAAAUCCCAGACUUGGAGCUGAAGAACCUUGUGACCUGGAAACGGAGGAGCACUACUCAACAAAAGAUGGCUCUCUCUAGCCAAAGGACAAGGAAAGAGACAGCCUCGUACAAACGGAAAAUUUAGACAAUAACUGCUGUACUCCAGCCAAACAUCACAGGAAAAAACUGUGCUCUCAUUUACACUCACAUGAGCAAAGGCCACAUGAAUGGCUGAUACUUCCACCCAUGUGAGGCUGCGGGGAAAGGCAGGAGAGGUGACAGAGGAAGCCUCCUAGAACAGAAGGAGUAAGACCCAGAGUCUCAUAACAUAAUACCCCAAAUGUUCAGUGUCCAUUGAAAUCACUCAUCAUGCCAAGAUCCAGUUAGGUCUCCAACCAGAGGGGAAAGGACAAGAAAUGACAACACUGAGAAGUCGAGAUGUUAGAAUUAUCUGAUAAAGCUUUGAGGCAGUCAUGUAAAAACACUCCAAAUAAUAACAAUCAUGCAAAUGAAAAAUAGUCUCCCAGCAAAGAAAUAUAAACUCUUGAUAAAUAAAAGAACCAAAUGAAAAUUUUAGAAAUAAAAAUAUAGUAAUCAAAAACUCAGUGGAUGGACUCAAAGCAGAAGAGAAGUCACAGAGGAAAGAAAUUUAUGAAGUGGAAGACAGAAUAGAAACUGCCUUAUUUCUAAACAGAAAAUGGAUUUUUAAAAAAUAAACAGGUCUCAAGAGACCUGUGACACUCAAACACAAAAAUCUAACAUUCAUGUCUUUAAGGUCCUGGGAAAAGAGAGAGAAGAUGGGGCAGAAAAGCAGAGAAAUAUUGCCUGAAAACUUUCCAAAUUGGGCAAAAGACAAACUCCAGAUUCAGGAAAUGAGAGAACCCUGACCAGGUGACCCUAUUUUAUUUGAUAUAUUUUGUUCUCACUGUUAAUUUUCAGCAAUUGUAUCCAUAUUUUACAGUUGUUUCAGUUAUAAUAUAGAAAGUUUAAACAAUAAAAUUAAUAAACUGGUAUAUAAAUCAAACAUAGAAUGCCACACUCAACAGAAUAUACAUUUAAGCACAUGAUAAUAGUCAUGCAUCACUUCAUGACAGGGACAUGUUCUCAGAAAUGCACUGUCAGGUGAUUUCCUCAUUCAACAAACAUGCUAGAGUGUGCUUAUGCAGACCCAGAUGGUAUAGCUUUCAAUGCACCUGGACUAUAUGGUAGGAACCAUCAUAUAUGCUCUGUCGUUCACUGAAGUUUAUAUGGUACGUGACUUUAGUUAAGUUGUGACUAUAUACUGGGCCAAAGUCCUUGGAAAUUUCAAGGGAUUGAACAUUGCAGAGAUCACGAUGUACCUUAGCAGAAAAAAAAUCCCUUUUAAAAAUUACAAACUCUAUUAUGUUUGGAAACACGUUGCUAAAUAACCAGUGGAGCAAAGAAAAAUUAUGAUGGGAAAUUUUUGAAUAUAUUGACAACUAUGGAAAAAUAUUGUGUAUCAAAAACUUGUGAAAUAAAGUAGAAAUUUUAAGGUAUCAGAUAUGUAUAUUAG